UGUGGCGUGAGGAAGUCGGUCUCCGCGGUCGGUUCGUCGGCGCCGAGGUCCUUCUGAUCGAGGCCUCCGCGCGUCCCAGGGCGGGUGUCAGGCCCCUUCGGGCGCCGUCCGGCCGCGGAAUUCGGAUGGCUUCCGGGAGUCGGGUUGUUCUGUAUUGCAGCCCCAAGGCGGGUGGUAAACUCCAUCCAAGGCUAAAUACCGGCACGAGACCGAUAGCGAACAAGU
RNAcentral lists this ribosomal RNA (225 nucleotides) under Echinaster luzonicus. Its description in RNAcentral is "partial 28S ribosomal RNA". It matches the Rfam family "Eukaryotic large subunit ribosomal RNA", at positions 144 to 349 of the family's 3401-position model. Lineage: Eukaryota; Metazoa; Echinodermata; Asteroidea; Spinulosida; Echinasteridae. The record is from RNAcentral.